UAUAUAUAUAUACACGUCAACAUUUUUUCCCAAUAUAAAAAUACGGUGGCUCUUCACCACCACCAGUACAAAUGUUACGGAAAAUAUAUUCAGAAUAAGCUUAUCGAUCGAUCUCUUUGCUGUCCUCCCAUGACUACAGAAACGCUCAUCUUUCUUUUCCUGCUUUUCUCCCAAAGUUGCAAUGGAAGGGAUACAAGUCUCUGUGCCCCUUCAUGCGGCAAUAACAACAGCAUCAGUUACCCUUUCCGAUUACGAACUGAUCCAAACAAUUGCGGAGACCAUAGAUUUGAGCUUUCUUGUGAAAAUAAUUUCACUGUGUUAAAUUUAAACGGAGGAAGAUACUAUGUUCAGGGCAUCAAUUACGAUAACUUCACUAUCCGAUUGGUGGAUGCCGGAGUCCAUCAAUAUGAUUGCUCCUCCUUUCCUCGUUUUCCUUUAUCCUAUCAUGAGAUUGAUCCAUAUUCCUAUUAUAAAUACCAAUGGACAAAGUCAGAAGAAGACAAAUGGGCUGAGUUGAGACAACGUCCCAUGUUAUCGCAGAGGAUUAGUUUCAUCAAGUGCCCAAAUCCAGUGUACUCUCCCCUUUACGUGGACACCGCUCCUUGCGUUUUACGUGGAUUCAAUUCUUCUGUAUCUGCUUUGAAGAGGCACUACUCUUAUGUAAAUAUCGGAGACAUGAAGGCAUCCGAAUUGAUGGAGUCGUGCAGCGUGGAGAUGAUGAGUUUGUUUCCAGUUACGGCAAAGAAGAAUAUGUCCUUUAUUGAAAUUCACAGGGAACUUGUAUUUGGGUUUCAGCUUUCCUGGCACAGGUACAUCAAAUGUGAAAAGUGUGAUGAUAAUAGGUGCUAUCUGGACAGCAGAAAAAGUGUUCGAUGCAUGUACCGGUGGAGUAAGUAAUGCUUUCAACCAUUUUUCGUUCGAUUCAUAAAUCACACAAUAGGAAGAAAUGGCUGACUUUCCAGUUUAUUAUUAUUAUUAUUAUGAGAUAAAUACAUAAUGUAUAUAAUACAGGCAAAAUAUAUAUUAUUGAUAGUUAAGAUCUGCAUGAAGGAUCUAAUCUAUGCGAUGUAUGUUUAUUUUAUUUUUGUUUUGUUCUUUUUCAUAUGACCUAAUUACAAAAAUAAGCUAAAUAUUUUUUUGUAUUUUUGUAAUCUAAUUCAAACAAUUAAAUCUUCGCAUAAUUAGUCAGAUUUUCAAAUUUUAUAAAGAUUUGAAUUUUUUUUUAAAUUAG
RNAcentral lists this unclassified non-coding RNA (1231 nucleotides) under Hevea brasiliensis (rubber tree). The record is from RNAcentral. Lineage: Eukaryota; Viridiplantae; Streptophyta; Magnoliopsida; Malpighiales; Euphorbiaceae.